AGAGUUUGAUCCUGGCUCAGAUUGAACGCUGGCGGCAGGCCUAACACAUGCAAGUCGAGCGGAUGAGUGGAGCUUGCUCCAUGAUUCAGCGGCGGGCGGGUGAGUAAUGCCUAGGAAUCUGCCUGGUAGUGGGGGACAACGUUUCGAAAGGAACGCUAAUACCGCAUACGUCCUACGGGAGAAAGCAGGGGACCUUCGGGCCUUGCGCUAUCAGAUGAACCUAGGUCGGAUUAGCUAGUUGGUGAGGUAAAGGCUCACCAAGGCGACGAUCCGUAACUGGUCUGAGAGGAUGAUCAGUCACACUGGAACUGAGACACGGUCCAGACUCCUACGGGAGGCAGCAGUGGGGAAUAUUGGACAAUGGGCGAAAGCCUGAUCCAGCCAUGCCGCGUGUGUGAAGAAGGUCUUCGGAUUGUAAAGCACUUUAAGUUGGGAGGAAGGGCAGUAAGUUAAUACCUUGCUGUUUUGACGUUACCGGCAGAAUAAGCACCGGCUAACUUCGUGCCAGCAGCCGCGGUAAUACGAAGGGUGCAAGCGUUAAUCGGAAUUACUGGGCGUAAAGCGCGCGUAGGUGGUUCGUUAAGUUGGAUGUGAAAGCCCCGGGCUCAACCUGGGAACUGCAUCCAAAACUGGCGAGCUAGAGUAUGGCAGAGGGUGGUGGAAUUUCCUGUGUAGCGGUGAAAUGCGUAGAUAUAGGAAGGAACACCAGUGGCGAAGGCGACCACCUGGGCUAAUACUGACACUGAGGUGCGAAAG
Molecule: ribosomal RNA, 756 nt
Filed under: bacterium enrichment culture clone 116
Lineage: Bacteria
Description: bacterial SSU rRNA
Rfam family: Bacterial small subunit ribosomal RNA
Source: RNAcentral